GACGAACGCUGGCGGCGUGCUUAACACAUGCAAGUCGAGCGGUAAGGCCCUUUCGGGGGUACACGAGCGGCGAACGGGUGAGUAACACGUGGGUGACCUGCCCUCAGCUCUGGGAUAAGCCCGGGAAACUGGGUCUAAUACUGGAUAUUACUCUGCGGUGCAUGCCGUGGGGUGGAAAGCCUUGUGCGACUGGGGAUGGGCCCGCGGCCUAUCAGCUUGUUGGUGGGGUGAUGGCCACCAAGGCGACGACGGGUAGCCGGCCUGAGAGGGCGACCGGCCACACUGGGACUGAGACACGGCCCAGACUCCUACGGGAGGCAGCAGUGGGGAAUCUUGCGCAAUGGGCGAAAGCCUGACGCAGCGACGCCGCGUGAGGGAUGACGGCCU
Molecule: ribosomal RNA, 387 nt
Filed under: uncultured bacterium
Lineage: Bacteria
Description: bacterial SSU rRNA
Rfam family: Bacterial small subunit ribosomal RNA
Source: RNAcentral